CCUACGGGCGGCUGCAGUGGGGAAUAUUGCACAAUGGGGGAAACCCUGAUGCAGCGACGCCGCGUGAGUGAAGAAGUAAUUCGUUAUGUAAAGCUCUAUCAGCCGGGAAGAAAAUGACGGUACCUGAGUAAGAAGCCCCGGCUAACUACGUGCCAGCAGCCGCGGUAAUACGUAGGGGGCAAGCGUUAUCCGGAUUUACUGGGUGGAAAGGGAGCGUAGACGGCAGUGCAAGUCUGGAGUGAAAGGCGGGGGCUCAACCCCCGGACUGCUCUGGAAACUGUACGGCUGGAGUGCAGGAGAGGUAAGUGGAAUGCCUAGUGGAGCGGUGAAAUGCGUAGAUAUUAGGAGGAACACCAGUGGCGAAGGCGGCUUACUGGACUGUAACUGACGUUGAGGCUCGAAAGCGUGGGGAGCAAACAGGAUUAGAUACCCGUGUAGUC
Molecule: ribosomal RNA, 440 nt
Filed under: uncultured bacterium
Lineage: Bacteria
Description: partial 16S ribosomal RNA
Rfam family: Bacterial small subunit ribosomal RNA
Source: RNAcentral